Molecule: ribosomal RNA, 862 nt
Filed under: Mecopelmus zeteki
Lineage: Eukaryota; Metazoa; Arthropoda; Insecta; Coleoptera; Curculionidae
Description: eukaryotic LSU rRNA
Rfam family: Eukaryotic large subunit ribosomal RNA
Source: RNAcentral
GUUUAGGGGUAAAACUGANNACCCGAAGUUCGAAGGGAGAAAUUCAUUCGCGUUUCGGUGCUGUCGUGGAGUCGGUUCAAAUAUGUGAUGGAAUUGCUGGUGUCUUGUGCAUUUUGCGAUUCUGUCCAUCCGAUUUCAUUUUGUGUUAUGGCAUCGAACGCGUGCACUUUUCUCCUGGUAGGACGUCGCGAUCCGUUGGGUGUCGAUUUAAGGCUGGUUGCAGUGUAGCUCGUAGAAUCCGGGUCCCUUUAUCGGGAUUUGUGUGUUUUACGAACCUGUACUUGUUUCCCGAUCGACUCGCUCGACGGUAUACGAACGGUUGUGGGCCGCUAAUUUUCACUAAUUAGCGUUCGGCUUACGGCAAGCGCUUUGGUUCAUUUAUGUGUUGACGAUCGGACUUUGUGCCGAUUUCGACCGCCAUUGGCUGUUGGCUGUAAUGUUCUCGAACAGACCCACUAAUUUUUUAACGAAAAUUAAAUGCAACCGAUCUGCGACGCUAUAGCUUUGGGUAAUUUCAGGACCCGUCUUGAAACACGGACCAAGGAGUCUAGCAUGUGCGCAAGUCAUUGGGAAUAAUACUAAACCUAAAGGCGCAAUGAAAGUAAAGGUUUACUAUUUACGUGAACCGAGGGAAGAAGAGUGGUGUUUGCCUUUAAAAGCAGCCGCUCUGCAUUCCCGGGGCGUCUCGUUCUCAUUGCGAGAUGAGGCGCACCAAGAGCGUACACGCUGGGACCCGAAAGAUGGUGAACUAUGCCUGGUCAGGACGAAGUCAGGGGAAACCCUGAUGGAGGUCCGUAGCGAUUCUGACGUGCAAAUCGAUCGUCGGAACUGGGUAUAGGGGCGAAAGACUAAUCGAACCAUC